Impatiens glandulifera is the source of this 82-nucleotide small nucleolar RNA. Lineage: Eukaryota; Viridiplantae; Streptophyta; Magnoliopsida; Ericales; Balsaminaceae. The record is from RefSeq and is a predicted model, not a curated record.
UUGCAGAUGAUGAAUUUAUUCAUUUUAUGAGCUGAUUCUUUCCAUGAGGCUUCAUAAUCGAGCUUUUUAAAACUGAUGCAAU